UUUCGCAAUGCCCGAAAGGGUGACGAAGCGACGCCGCGUGUGGGAAGAAGGCCUUCGGGUUGUAAACCACUGUCGGGAGUUAGGAAAUGUAAGGGUGCUAAUAGUAUCCUUACUUGACUAAGGCUCCGGAGGAAGCCACGGCUAACUCUGUGCCAGCAGCCGCGGUAAUACAGAGGCGGCAAGCGUUGUUCGGAAUUAUUGGGCGUAAAGAGCACGUAGGCGGCCUUGUAAGUCAGUUGUGAAAGCCUUCUGCUUAACGGAAGAACAGCAGCUGAUAUUGCAAGGCUAGAGUGCGGAAGGGGAGAGUGGAACUUCUGGUGGAGCGGUGAAAUGCGUAGAUAUCAGAAGGAACACCGGCGGCGAAGGCGACUCUCUGGUCCGUAACUGACGCUGAGUGUGCGAAAGCUAGGGGAGCAAACGGGAUUAGAUACCCCGGUAGUCCUAGCCGUAAACGAUGGGCACUAAGUAGAGGGGUUUUA
RNAcentral lists this ribosomal RNA (479 nucleotides) under uncultured bacterium. RNAcentral describes it as "bacterial SSU rRNA". It matches the Rfam family "Bacterial small subunit ribosomal RNA", at positions 364 to 833 of the family's 1533-position model. The record is from RNAcentral.